This is a long non-coding RNA of Pan troglodytes (chimpanzee), 1476 nucleotides long. RefSeq lists it as uncharacterized. NCBI's taxonomy places the organism in Eukaryota, Metazoa, Chordata, Mammalia, Primates, Hominidae. The transcript is spliced from 3 exons. The record is from RefSeq and is a predicted model, not a curated record.
GCCGCUGGGGGCGCUCGUGCGACGAAGGCCGACGGACGGCGAGAGAGAGUGGGAGGAACUACAACUCCCGGCGUGCACAGCGCGGGCCAGUGCCUCCGGGGCUUGUGGCUGUGCCCGCGAGCGGCUGGGGUCUCCAGCCAGUGGGAUAACGCAUAUUGACUGAUCUUUCAGAGACGUUUGUACCCGUUCAAAGGGUCUCACUCUGUUGCCCAGGUUGGAGUGCAAUGGCAUGAUCAUGGUUCACUGGAGCUUCAACCUCCCAGGCUCAGAGAUGGGGUUUUGCCAUGUUGCCAGGCUGGUUUUGAACUCCUGGACUCAAGAAAUCUGCCUGCCUCCGCCUCCCAAAAUGCUAGGAUUACAGAUGUGAGCCAGUAUUUUUUUAUUUUGUCAGUAACUUGUUUAACUACUCAUGUUAAUCUCUAUAUUCUUCUUACAUAGUAGAACAGAUGUUGACAAAUGUUUAUUUACUAUUCAUAAGUUGAUGGAGUUUUGGUAUUAAAAAAAGUAAGUUAAACCAUCUGUGUAAUAAAAGAAGAUCAUUUUCUUUUUUGAAAAAAAGAUCAACAUCCUGCUUGUUAAAGACUCAGGAGAAGUUUGAUCAUUUACCUUGAUAGGGGAUAGAGGCUAGUAAAGACCAAGAAAGAGGAAGAGAGAGAUGGUAAAGCAUGGACAAGGCUGCCAGAAAGUGUUGCUACUGGAAGAAAAGUAUAUUAUUUCACUUUGGGUUUUUUUGUGUUUUGUUUUUACCAGAGACAGGGGCUCACUCUGUUGCCCAGGCUGGAGUGCAGUGGCACGAUCAUAACUCCUGGGCUCAAGCGAUCCUCCCACCCUGGCCUGCCAAGUAGCUGGGACCACAGGCACUUUUUAUAGAAAUGGGGUCUUGCUUUGUUGCCCAGGCUGGUCUCAAAUUCCUGGCCUCAAGCAAUUCUCCCUCUGUAGCUUCUCAAAGUGCUGGGAUUAAAGGUGUCAGCCACCAUGCCCAGUCUGUAAUACUUCACUUUCUAUAGCAGAAGUUCAGUUUUUUGAGAGCAUAUCAUGCUUGCAACUGAAAAAAAAAGUUUAAUUUCUUAAAAAGAGGUUUUUAUCUUAUUAACACAAAAAGAAUUAGAACAUUAUAUUUACUUACUUGUAAGUUUCAGAUGAGAAACUUAAAAAAUGGGGAGGGAAGCUUCUGCAGCCUACCAUUAUAAAAGAACAGAGCAACUCUAGUUGCAAUACCUCAGAUUCUGAUAAGCAUUACCAGAAGCCUCAGGGCAAACUGUGAACAUUGUUUCUUGAUUCAUAAAAGAGGAGGAAAAAAAAAGAAAUCUAGGAAAUAGUUGGUAGAAUUGGUUUUUCCUUGGCUUUAAAAAAAAUUUCAGCAAAGUUUGAAUGCUUUCAGGAUGUCUAUAUCAAGAGAAUGGAAUGUUUUGCAGCAUGUCUAUAUUCAGGAGAAUGAAAAGCGUUAAGUAGAAGCCAAAUGAAAGAAUGCUUUGU